Molecule: ribosomal RNA, 264 nt
Filed under: uncultured Planctomycetota bacterium
Lineage: Bacteria; Pseudomonadati; Planctomycetota
Description: uncultured planctomycete partial 16S ribosomal RNA
Rfam family: Bacterial small subunit ribosomal RNA
Source: RNAcentral
AGCACGUAGGUGGGUUUGUAAGUCAGAUGUGAAAGCCUCCUGUUCAACGGGAGAAUUGCAUCUGAAACUACUGAUCUUGAGUGUAGGAGGGGAGAAUGGAACUUCUGGUGGAGCGGUGAAAUGCGUAGAUAUCAGAAGGAACGCCGGCGGCGAAAGCGAUUCUCUGGCCUAUUACUGGCGCUCAGUGUGCGAAAGCUAGGGAAGCAAACGGGAUUAGAUACCCCGGUAGUCCUAGCCGUAAACGAUGGGCACUAAGUAGAGGGG